Molecule: unclassified non-coding RNA, 1392 nt
Filed under: Hevea brasiliensis (rubber tree)
Lineage: Eukaryota; Viridiplantae; Streptophyta; Magnoliopsida; Malpighiales; Euphorbiaceae
Source: RNAcentral
AAAGGAAAUAAUGAUAAAGGGUGGCUACAUUGCAACAGCAUUCAACAGAUUAUUCACAUGCAAACAUCACAACAUACAAUUACUUCCAAUCUGAAUUCUGAAAGCAAGCAUUCAUGAAAAAAGAAGAAGAAGAAGAAACAUGGCAAUUAAUCCAGGGUGCAAAGCACAAUGGGAAAAUACUAUUCAAAGGAGAUAUCUUCAUGACAAAGAAGAGAGAGGUUGUUAAUAAUCAUCGGUUGGUUUUUCUUCUUUGAAGUUAAAACCUUCAUUUCUUCUCUGGUUUAGCCAAGCCUCUCUGUCUUUGGUGCCCAUCUCCUGCUUUUUGGGCAGGGGAUGGUGGUUUUCUCAGGCUAGGUGUAGGGUCUCCCUCCCUUCUUCUGUCUGCGUUGUUUACAGUUUUGGUUUUGGUUGGUUUAUCUCGCAAAUCUAAGAGUUUUGAAUGGUGAGGGUUUUUCAAGUACAGAUCUGAUUAGGGCUAGCUAUAGCAGAACCUUAGAAGCGGUGGCCUUUUUCUGUUGAGGAUGGCAUCUGGUGGGUUAAAAAGGCUGUCGGUGUUUGCCUUGUGUUGUCCAGUGCCCAUUGAAGACCAACUCUGUUGUCCUCGCUGGAUGGCUCAGCACGAGAAGUUCAAGCUGUUGGAUGGGCUUGUUUGUUUCUCAGGCGACAGAGGAGCGGAUGAUUUGGUUGAAAAGCGCUCUUCUUUAUUCUUGGGUCUCCUUGUGUUGAUCUUCUUGAUUUGGCUAUGGUGUGGUUUUGUAUUAGUUUUUUAUUCUACUGUUUAGAGUGGUCAGUAGUUGGGUUGCCUGUGGAGUGCCCUUUCUGUUCUCUGAUGGUUCUCUGUAGUGCAGUUCCAGCAAGAGGUUCUGAUCUCUUCCUCAGCGUGUUUUUUCGAAUAUUCUGCUCUGGAUCCCUCUGCUCUUGUAGUGGCUGGGUUCAUUUUUAUGCUUUUGGGUUUGAUUGUAUUGUUUGGUUUGGGCUUCGGUCGAAACCUCCCCUGUAAUCCCUUAUAUUUUAAUGAAAUUCUAAAUUUCAUAUUAAAAAAAAAAUAUGAUAAAUGGGAAAUCAAAUCAAAACAAGACCAAUUUCUGCUCUUGUGUGGUCAUUCAAGGACAAGAAGCAGAAAACCAGAGCCAUGAUCAUGAACAUCACAGCAUAUCUCGCAGAUUCCAAGGUGGCUGUAAACCUUUGCUCCUGCAGGCCGCAUAUAGCACUAACAAAGACACCCAAGCCGUCCACCACGGUAGCCAGCAACAUUGCUGUCUUCUUCCAAUAAAAGAGAAAAAAACCUUGUAGCCUUUACUUGCACUUAACUAUAUCUUUCAGAUUUUGUAUAGGCAACUGGAGGACUAUGGCUCUCUUUUGCUUGCUUUAUAUUGAAACGCAUGCAAUGCA